CGCUACUUUGGCAACCCAGCUUCUCUGCAGGACUUGUCCGCAUACUCUUCUCCUUUCUUCUAUCUCUUUGAAGCUCUGUGGAGGAUUUUACUAGUCAUCAAUGGCAUCUGUGGAGGACAUUAGAAACGCUCAACGUGCCAAGGGGCCGGCUGUCAUUCUAGCCAUUGGCACUGCAACUCCAGACAACUGUGUCUACCAGUCCGAUUACGCUGAUUACUAUUUCCGGGUCACUAAAAGCGAGCACAUGACCGACUUGAAGAAGAAGUUCAACCGCAUAUGUGAGAAAUCAAUGAUCAAAAAGCGAUACAUUCAUUUGACUGAAGAAAUGCUUGAAGAGCACCCAAAUAUGGGUGCUUACAUGGCUCCAUCGCUCAACAUACGCCAAGAAAUUAUCACUGCUGAGGUACCUAAGCUUGGUAAGGAGGCUGCAUUGAAGGCUCUUAAAGAGUGGGGGCAGCCUAAGUCCAAGAUCACUCACCUUGUAUUUUGUACAACUUCAGGAGUAGAAAUGCCCGGUGCAGACUAUAAACUAGCCAAUCUUCUAGGCCUCGAAACAUCAGUUAGAAGAGUAAUGUUUAUCAUCAAGGCUGCUAUGCAGGUGGGACUGUUCUCCGAACUGCGAAGGAUCUCGCAGAGAAUAAUGCAGGAGCACGAGUUCUUGUGGUAUGCUCUGAGAUCACAGUUGUUACUUUUCGUGGACCUUCUGAAACCCAUUUAGACUCUUUAGUAGGUCAAGCCCUUUUUGGUGAUGGGUCGGCAGCUGUAAUUGUUGGAUCAGAUCCAGAUACCUCCAUUGAACGACCACUCUUCCAACUUGUUUCAGCAGCCCAAACAUUCAUUCCUAAUACACAAGGUGCUAUUGCUGGCAACUUACGUGAGGUGGGUCUAACCUUUCAUUUGUGGCCUAAUGUGCCUACUCUGAUUUCCGAGAAUAUAGAGAAGUGCUUGACUCAAGCUUUUGCCCCACUUGGUAUUAGUGAUUGGAACUCCUUGUUUUGGAUCGCUCAUCCAGGUGGCCCGGCCAUUUUGGAUGCAGUCGAAGCAAAACUCAAUUUGGAGAAAAAGAAACUCGAAGCAACAAGACACAUCUUAAGUGAGUAUGGUAAUAUGUCAAGUGCAUGCGUGUUGUUUAUUUUGGAUGAGAUGAGAAAGAAAUCACUCAAGGAAGAAAGGACCACCACAGGUGAAGGAUUAGAUUGGGGCGUUUUAUUUGGUUUUGGGCCAGGUCUGACCAUUGAAACUGUUGUGCUGCAUAGCGUUGCUGGGGCUACAAAUUGAGUGAAAGGAAAAAAAUCAGAAGGGGACAAUUUCCAAUUAAAUCAAAUAGGAGUUAAUAAAGACAUAUAUGUCUUCUAUUUGUAACAUCUUUUAUUCUUUAUUAAAAUUGAUGUUUGUGGUUCAAAUUAGAGCUUGUUGGAGGGCUUCAUUAGUAACCUCAAGUUAAAAGGGAUGAGACAUCAAGUUCUUACAGUUUCGAUAUCUAGAUGAAAUUCCCUCAAAAGUUGUAUAAACAUCCACCGUGUUCUUUUAAAGAUUGUUGAGAGUAAUACAAAGAAAAGAAUAAAAUAACAAAUUGCCUUUUCCCUUUG
This is an RNA transcript of Vitis vinifera (wine grape), 1589 nucleotides long. It is a transcript of the gene named stilbene synthase 2-like, with no coding region annotated. The record is from RefSeq and is a predicted model, not a curated record. The transcript is spliced from 3 exons. Lineage: Eukaryota; Viridiplantae; Streptophyta; Magnoliopsida; Vitales; Vitaceae.